UAUAUUUUAGUGUAUGAUGCACAGUAAACUUUGAAUUUAACGGAAAUAGUUUGAUUCUAUUAAAUGUAA
Molecule: transfer RNA, 69 nt
Filed under: Oecanthus rufescens
Lineage: Eukaryota; Metazoa; Arthropoda; Insecta; Orthoptera; Gryllidae
Description: tRNA-Gln
Rfam family: tRNA
About the family: Transfer RNA (tRNA) molecules are approximately 80 nucleotides in length. Their secondary structure includes four short double-helical elements and three loops (D, anti-codon, and T loops).
Source: RNAcentral